GACGAACGCUGGCGGCGUGCUUAACACAUGCAAGUCGAACGGAAAGGCCCUGCUUUUGUGGGGUGCUCGAGUGGCGAACGGGUGAGUAACACGUGAGUAACCUGCCCUUGACUUUGGGAUAACUUCAGGAAACUGGGGCUAAUACCGGAUAGGAGCUCCUGCUGCAUGGCGGGGGUUGGAAAGUUUCGGCGGUUGGGGAUGGACUCGCGGCUUAUCAGCUUGUUGGUGGGGUAGUGGCUUACCAAGGCUUUGACGGGUAGCCGGCCUGAGAGGGUGACCGGCCACAUUGGGACUGAGAUACGGCCCAGACUCCUACGGGAGGCAGCAGUGGGGAAUGUUGCACAAUGGGCGGAAGCCUGAUGCAGCAACGCCGCGUGCGGGAUGACGGCCUUCGGGUUGUAAACCGCUUUCGCCUGUGACGAAGCGUGAGUGACGGUAAUGGGUAAAGAAGCACCGGCUAACUACGUGCCAGCAGCCGCGGUGAUACGUAGGGUGCGAGCGUUGUCCGGAUUUAUUGGGCGUAAAGGGCUCGUAGGUGGUUGAUCGCGUCGGAAGUGUAAUCUUGGGGCUUAACCCUGAGCGUGCUUUCGAUACGGGUUGACUUGAGGAAGGUAGGGGAGAAUGGAAUUCCUGGUGGAGCGGUGGAAUGCGCAGAUAUCAGGAGGAACACCAGUGGCGAAGGCGGUUCUCUGGGCCUUUCCUGACGCUGAGGAGCGAAAGCGUGGGGAGCGAACAGGCUUAGAUACCCUGGUAGUCCACGCUGUAAACGGUGGGUACUAGGUGUGGGGUCCAUUCCACGGGUUCCGUGCCGUAGCUAACGCUUUAAGUACCCCGCCUGGGGAGUACGGCCGCAAGGCUAAAACUCAAAGGAAUUGACGGGGCCCCGCACAAGCGGCGGAGCAUGCGGAUUAAUUCGAUGCAACGCGUAGAACCUUACCUGGGUUUGACAUGGAUCGGGAGUGCUCAGAGAUGGGUGUGCCUCUUUUGGGGUCGGUUCACAGGUGGUGCAUGGCUGUCGUCAGCUCGUGUCGUGAGAUGUUGGGUUAAGUCCCGCAACGAGCGCAACCCUUGUUCACUGUUGCCAGCACGUUAUGGUGGGGACUCAGUGGAGACCGCCGGGGUCAACUCGGAGGAAGGUGGGGAUGACGUCAAGUCAUCAUGCCCCUUAUGUCCAGGGCUUCACGCAUGCUACAAUGGCUGGUACAGAGAGUGGCGAGCCUGUGAGGGUGAGCGAAUCUCGGAAAGUCGGUCUCAGUUCGGAUUGGGGUCUGCAACUCGACCUCAUGAAGUCGGAGUCGCUAGUAAUCGCAGAUCAGCAACGCUGCGGUGAAUACGUUCCCGGG
RNAcentral lists this ribosomal RNA (1343 nucleotides) under uncultured bacterium. RNAcentral's name for it is "16S ribosomal RNA". It matches the Rfam family "Bacterial small subunit ribosomal RNA", at positions 28 to 1378 of the family's 1533-position model. The record is from RNAcentral.